CAGUCGCCGCGGUAAUACGUAGGGUGCAAGCGUUAAUCGGAAUUACUUGGCGUAAAGCGUGCGCAGGCGGUUUGUUAAGACAGAUGUGAAAUCCCCGGGCUCAACCUGGGAACUGCAUUUGUGACUGGCAAGCUAGAGUCUGGCAGAGGGGGGUGGAAUUCCGCGUGUAGCAGUGAAAUGCGUAGAGAUGUGGAGGAACACCGAUGGCGAAGGCAGCCCCCUGGGCCAAUACUGACGCUCAUGCACGAAAGCGUGGGGAGCAAACAGGAUUAGAUACCCCAGUAGUCCCUGUCUCUUAUAA
Molecule: ribosomal RNA, 301 nt
Filed under: uncultured bacterium
Lineage: Bacteria
Description: partial 16S ribosomal RNA
Rfam family: Bacterial small subunit ribosomal RNA
Source: RNAcentral